UGCCAGACUCCUACGGGAGGCAGCAGUGGGGGAUAUUGCACAAUGGGGGGAACCCUGAUGCAGCGACGCCGCGUGGGUGAAGAAGCGCCUCGGCGCGUAAAGCCCUGUCAGCAGGGAAGAAAAUGACGGUACCUGAAGAAGAAGCCCCGGCUAACUACGUGCCAGCAGCCGCGGUAAUACGUGGGGGGCAAGCGUUAUCCGGAUUUACUGGGUGUAAAGGGGGCGCAGACGGCGAUGCAAGCCAGGAGUGAAAGCGCGGGGCCCAACCCCGGGACUGCUCUUGGAACUGCGUGGCUGGAGUGCAGGAGGGGCAGGCGGAAUUCCUGGUGUAGCGGUGAAAUGCGUAGAUAUCAGGAGGAACACCGGUGGCGAAGGCGGCCUGCUGGACUGCAACUGACGUUGAGGCCCGAAAGCGUGGGGAGCAAACAGGAUUAGAUACCCUGGUA
This 446-nucleotide ribosomal RNA is filed under the name uncultured bacterium. RNAcentral's name for it is "bacterial SSU rRNA". It matches the Rfam family "Bacterial small subunit ribosomal RNA", at positions 329 to 792 of the family's 1533-position model. The record is from RNAcentral.